RNAcentral lists this ribosomal RNA (169 nucleotides) under uncultured bacterium. RNAcentral describes it as "partial 16S ribosomal RNA". It matches the Rfam family "Bacterial small subunit ribosomal RNA", at positions 338 to 524 of the family's 1533-position model. The record is from RNAcentral.
CCUACGGGAGGCAGCAGUGGGGAAUAUUGCACAAUGGGGGAAACCCUGAUGCAGCGACGCCGCGUGGGUGAAGAAGUAUCUCGGUACGUAAAGCUCUAUCAGCAGGGAAGAAAAUGACGGUACCUGACCAAGAAGCCCCGGCUAACUACGUGCCAGCAGCCGCGGUAAU